This is a long non-coding RNA of Hemicordylus capensis (graceful crag lizard), 251 nucleotides long. RefSeq lists it as uncharacterized. The transcript is spliced from 2 exons. Lineage: Eukaryota; Metazoa; Chordata; Lepidosauria; Squamata; Cordylidae. The record is from RefSeq and is a predicted model, not a curated record.
GUGGAGCGGAGUAGCUUGCGAGAGCUGCUGCUGCUGGGGACGUUCCCUGAAUCUGCCUGCCUGCCGUUUGCCCACCACACUGCCCUCUGGCUGCAUUUUAUUCUUCUGUUCUGCAUUAACAAAGUUGAGGCCUUGCAUUCAGAGCCGGCCAUGGCAGAAUCCCUGGCUUGAAUUAAGACCAGACAGGGCCCUGCAGUAAACUGAACACUCCCCACAGCUACACAGAAACAGAAAAUAAAUUUUAUUCCGAA